Molecule: ribosomal RNA, 782 nt
Filed under: uncultured bacterium
Lineage: Bacteria
Description: bacterial SSU rRNA
Rfam family: Bacterial small subunit ribosomal RNA
Source: RNAcentral
AGUCGAACGAGAAUCUCUUGGAAUGAUUCUUUCGGGAUGAAUUCCAAAGAGGAAAGUGGCGGACGGGCGAGUAACGCGUGAGUAACCUGCCCAUAAGAGGGGGAUAGUCCAUGGAAACGUGGACUAAUACCGCAUAUUGUAGUUAAGUUGCAUGACUUGAUUAUGAAAGAUUUAUCGCUUAUGGAUGGACUCGCGUCAGAUUAGAUAGUUGGUGAGGUAACGGCUCACCAAGUCAACGAUCUGUAGCCGAACUGAGAGGUUGAUCGGCCGCAUUGGGACUGAGACACGGCCCAGACUCCUACGGGAGGCAGCAGUGGGGAAUAUUGCGCAAUGGGGGCAACCCUGACGCAGCAACGCCGCGUGCAGGAAGAAGGUCUUCGGAUUGUAAACUGUUGUCGCAAGGGAAGAAGACAGUGACGGUACCUUGUGAGAAAGUCACGGCUAACUACGUGCCAGCAGCCGCGGUAAUACGUAGGUGACAAGCGUUGUCCGGAUUUACUGGGUGUAAAGGGCGCGUAGGCGGACUGUCAAGUCAGUCGUGAAAUACCGGGGCUUAACCCCGGGGCUGCGAUUGAAACUGACAGCCUUGAGUAUCGGAGAGGAAAGCGGAAUUCCUAGUGUAGCGGUGAAAUGCGUAGAUAUUAGGAGGAACACCAGUGGCGAAGGCGGCUUUCUGGACGACAACUGACGCUGAGGCGCGAAAGUGUGGGGAGCAAACAGGAUUAGAUACCCUGGUAGUCCACACCGUAAACGAUGGAUACUAGGUGUAGGAGGUAUCGACC